Molecule: ribosomal RNA, 336 nt
Filed under: uncultured bacterium
Lineage: Bacteria
Description: bacterial SSU rRNA
Rfam family: Bacterial small subunit ribosomal RNA
Source: RNAcentral
AGAGUUUGAUUCUGGCUCAGGACGAACGCUGGCGGCGUGCCUAAUACAUGCAAGUAGAACGCUGAAGCUUGGUGCUUGCACCGAGCGGAUGAGUUGCGAACGGGUGAGUAACGCGUAGGUAACCUGCCUGGUAGCGGGGGAUAACUAUUGGAAACGAUAGCUAAUACCGCAUAAAAUGGAUUAUCGCAUGAUAAUCGAUUGAAAGGUGCAAAUGCAUCACUACCAGAUGGACCUGCGUUGUAUUAGCUAGUUGGUGGGGUAACGGCUCACCAAGGCGACGAUACAUAGCCGACCUGAGAGGGUGAUCGGCCACACUGGGACUGAGACACGGCCCAG